AUACGUAGGUGACAAGCGUUAUCCGGAUUUACUGGGCGUAAAGGGCGUGUAGGCGGUCUUGCAAGUCAGAAGUGAAAUUCCUGAGCUCAACUCGGGCGCUGCUUCUGAAACUGCAGGACUUGAGUGCUGGAGGGGAUAGCGGAAUUCCUAGUGGAGCGGUAAAAUGCGCAGAUAUUAGGAAGAACACCGGUGGCGAAGGCGGCUAGCUGGACAGUAAGUGACGCUUAGGCGCGAAAGCGUGGGGAGCAAACAGGAUUAGAUACCCUGGUAGUAUACGCCGUAAACGGUGAAUAAUAGGUGUCGGGUUUCUUUAGAGAUUCGGUGCCGCAGCAAACGCAAUAAGUAUUCCACCUGGGGAGUACGUUCGCAAGAAUGAAACUCAAAUGAAUUGACGGG
RNAcentral lists this ribosomal RNA (396 nucleotides) under uncultured bacterium. Its description in RNAcentral is "partial 16S ribosomal RNA". It matches the Rfam family "Bacterial small subunit ribosomal RNA", at positions 523 to 917 of the family's 1533-position model. The record is from RNAcentral.